This 616-nucleotide long non-coding RNA is filed under the name Homo sapiens (human). RNAcentral describes it as "HSALNT0318952". The record is from RNAcentral. Lineage: Eukaryota; Metazoa; Chordata; Mammalia; Primates; Hominidae.
AUCUGUGAACCAGAAAGUUGGAUCUGCAUAAAUAGAGAAAAAUUCAUGUUUAUGGAGAAGACAAUUGAAUAUUGUGAAGAUGUCUUUCACUAAAAUGAUCUACAAAUUCAAAGCCAUAUCUGUCAAAAUCCCAGCUGUCAUUUUUAUAGCUGUACACACUGAUACUUAAAGGCAACAAGUUGACAAAUGGACAUGAAUUUCACCUCUGAGAGUUUCAUAAGCUGGUAUUGUCCUGACAUUGCAAAGUGUUUACCACAAAGAUCCUGUACAUCCAUCAUCCAGGGCCAGCGUUUGCCUGAUUCUAAUUCCACUGACAUUGAAAUCUACAGCUCUCUUUUUAUAGCUCACAGAUGUCUUCCUUAAGGACCCGAGAGCCAUCUUUGAAACAUAAGUAUCAAGUCAGAUAGCACACCUAUCUUUCAGUUUACGUGACAAGUGCCUUGGAAAUACGACCUAUUGAAUGUCUACUUUCAUGAGCUGAAAUAUUCAUAGGUCAUGAAGCCACAGAAUGGAAGAGGCCUUGAUCAUCUAAUCACAGCUUGGAGGGUAGCUUAGACAAGAGGGCCAUCCAACCAACGUUGCGAUUUAUAAGAAUAAGAAGUUAACUGAUAAAGAC